Molecule: long non-coding RNA, 1587 nt
Filed under: Pomacea canaliculata
Lineage: Eukaryota; Metazoa; Mollusca; Gastropoda; Architaenioglossa; Ampullariidae
Description: uncharacterized LOC112565064
Source: RNAcentral
GGGGGAUGAAAGUCAGGAGAGAGAAAGAAAGAGAAAGAGUUGGCCAUUGUACUGGAAGCGAACGAGAGAGAACAAGAGAUAUGUUGGAGGUCCGCCUGCCUGCCUGCCACACAGCAGCAACAGCAGCAACAGCAGCCACUACAGCAGAUGCUGCAACUCCUGGUUGGUCGGACAGACGCACACAGCGUCGGUUAAACCGAGAUUUUACACUUUUCAACACGAGGCACAGCAGCCCUAUAGUGCGCCCAGAAUCUUCGAUCCCGCAUUUGGCGGUACAGCAGCUCUUAUCAAAUCCAACAGCCAGUCCCGGUUCCAGGAUAAAUAUCAAUGUUUUAUGGAGGAAACAAUGAGGGAAUGCCAUUUCGACACGAAUGAGAUGAAGUGACCUUUUGCAGUCGUGCGUAGCUGGACAUCAGCCAACGGUGUGGUGAAGUGUAGUGAGACUAAAGUUGCCAGACACCUGCAAACAGACAUUGGCCGUUACAGUGACAGCUAACAGCUCAGAGCACAAAACAACAUGUAAACAUUGCUGAUCGCACCAAAAGUUGUAUCCCCAUGAAUUUCGCAUUGACUUUCAAAUGAAUUGGUGUGAACGGCAUCAGCUUGCUAGCCUUGAUGGCAGUUGGUGUGCAGGUGAAUGUCGACAGGCUUAGGACAAGCAUGACGUCAUCUAGACAUUGUGUGCCAACGGGACAGACCUCAUAUCUGACAUAACCUUUAACCUGGUUCACCGACAAUCAUGGUCUCAAACGAACUCACUCCUCUCUACAGGAAUACCACGGCUACAUGCAAAAAUCCAGCAGGAGGCAGGUUUCAGUUUUACAGACUUCUGAGACUGUGGAGGAGGGGAAACAAUAUCCCAUUCCCUCCUCUGUGUUGUCCACGUCUGGCGCUGGCGGCGGAGGAACACAAUUUGCUGUGAAAUUUCCUCGAAUUUGAUUGACUUCUCCUUUUCAGACCACUUCCAACUGCGCAGUCGCCUGGAGGACUUCCGCUAAAAUACUAGACUGCUUUACUGGACUCAGAGGAAGACUUGAGACAGUGAGAUAAAAAAAAAAAAGAAAAACAUUGUAAUAGCGACUCCACGCUGUUCGUCACAGACAUCAGACAAACUUCAUUGCAAGAGAAUUUACUUACACAACGAAAACAAAGAAAAAAGAAGUAAAGGACGUAUGCUUUAAAACAAGAAGAAAACCUCAACAAGAAAACACAAAGCAGGUUCUGCUUCCACUUACAGCCAUGUACCCGGAGGUGAGAAGGUCGAGUAUGUCUCUGCGCUCACACCUGGGGUCGUUUGACGGCACGUCCAGGUGGUCCAACAGCAACACACUGAAGCGGAAGAGAGUCGCGUCCCUUGUCGCUGCUCGUGGGUCCUCUGCGUCGUCGUUACCUUCAUCGUUCUCACAGUCGUCGCCUGCGUCAUCACAGUCCCUCUAAUACCGGAUCAAAGGUCACUCCACUCAGCACAGGUGGUGUCGGUGAGGUCGGAACUGGAGCAGCGCCGACUGAUCCUGAUCGCCAAACAAGAUUGCUACCGCCUGAGCGAACGACGGGAAGCAGAACUGAAAAAUGGCACAGCCCCCUUUA